AACUCCUCUUACUUCUCUCUCCCCUCCCCCAAGAAAGAAGACUGCUUCAUACAGGGAGGGUGGUAGAGCAGAAAAUGGAAUCGUCGUGAAGGUUAUGUGCCAGAUCUCAUUUUGCUGAGAGGCACAAGAGCAGGCAGUACAGUGUAUUCAUAUUCAUAUCUUUAGGCCAAGGACUGCCACAUAGUGGUGAAUGCUAGAGAGAGACAGAGAACUGAAGGCUGCACUUUAAAAAAAAAAAAGAGUUCCAGAUGUACCAGGAAAGUGCUUCCUCAUGUGACCUUAUAGAAAUACUGGAUCAAAGCAGACAAAUUCGGAGGAGAGAAACCCCACAGAGCAGGACUUCCUGGUGGUAUAGUGGCAAGGGGGGCCUGGGUUCAAUCCCUGGUCAGAAAACUAGAUCCCACGUCCUGCAACUAACACCUGAUGCAGCCAAAUGAAUAAAAAAUAAGUUUUUGUUUUUGUUUAAGAAAAAGAAACCCCACAGAACAACCACACGUGAAUUCCUCAUCUGGUCACCAAGGAACAAGCCCAAUCCUUUUCUUACUAAAAGCUACAUUUUGGACAUUUGAAAUAAAAACUUUUAAUCAAAAA
Long non-coding RNA from Bubalus bubalis (water buffalo), 591 nucleotides. RefSeq lists it as uncharacterized. The transcript is spliced from 2 exons. The record is from RefSeq and is a predicted model, not a curated record. NCBI's taxonomy places the organism in Eukaryota, Metazoa, Chordata, Mammalia, Artiodactyla, Bovidae.